RNAcentral lists this ribosomal RNA (1535 nucleotides) under Escherichia coli. RNAcentral describes it as "bacterial SSU rRNA". It matches the Rfam family "Bacterial small subunit ribosomal RNA". Lineage: Bacteria; Pseudomonadati; Pseudomonadota; Gammaproteobacteria; Enterobacterales; Enterobacteriaceae. The record is from RNAcentral.
AAAUUGAAGAGUUUGAUCAUGGCUCAGAUUGAACGCUGGCGGCAGGCCUAACACAUGCAAGUCGAACGGUAACAGGAAACAGCUUGCUGUUUCGCUGACGAGUGGCGGACGGGUGAGUAAUGUCUGGGAAACUGCCUGAUGGAGGGGGAUAACUACUGGAAACGGUAGCUAAUACCGCAUAACGUCGCAAGACCAAAGAGGGGGACCUUCGGGCCUCUUGCCAUCGGAUGUGCCCAGAUGGGAUUAGCUUGUUGGUGGGGUAACGGCUCACCAAGGCGACGAUCCCUAGCUGGUCUGAGAGGAUGACCAGCCACACUGGAACUGAGACACGGUCCAGACUCCUACGGGAGGCAGCAGUGGGGAAUAUUGCACAAUGGGCGCAAGCCUGAUGCAGCCAUGCCGCGUGUAUGAAGAAGGCCUUCGGGUUGUAAAGUACUUUCAGCGGGGAGGAAGGGAGUAAAGUUAAUACCUUUGCUCAUUGACGUUACCCGCAGAAGAAGCACCGGCUAACUCCGUGCCAGCAGCCGCGGUAAUACGGAGGGUGCAAGCGUUAAUCGGAAUUACUGGGCGUAAAGCGCACGCAGGCGGUUUGUUAAGUCAGAUGUGAAAUCCCCGGGCUCAACCUGGGAACUGCAUCUGAUACUGGCAAGCUUGAGUCUCGUAGAGGGGGGUAGAAUUCCAGGUGUAGCGGUGAAAUGCGUAGAGAUCUGGAGGAAUACCGGUGGCGAAGGCGGCCCCCUGGACGAAGACUGACGCUCAGGUGCGAAAGCGUGGGGAGCAAACAGGAUUAGAUACCCUGGUAGUCCACGCCGUAAACGAUGUCGACUUGGAGGUUGUGCCCUUGAGGCGUGGCUUCCGGAGCUAACGCGUUAAGUCGACCGCCUGGGGAGUACGGCCGCAAGGUUAAAACUCAAAUGAAUUGACGGGGGCCCGCACAAGCGGUGGAGCAUGUGGUUUAAUUCGAUGCAACGCGAAGAACCUUACCUGGUCUUGACAUCCACGGAAGUUUUCAGAGAUGAGAAUGUGCCUUCGGGAACCGUGAGACAGGUGCUGCAUGGCUGUCGUCAGCUCGUGUUGUGAAAUGUUGGGUUAAGUCCCGCAACGAGCGCAACCCUUAUCCUUUGUUGCCAGCGGUCCGGCCGGGAACUCAAAGGAGACUGCCAGUGAUAAACUGGAGGAAGGUGGGGAUGACGUCAAGUCAUCAUGGCCCUUACGACCAGGGCUACACACGUGCUACAAUGGCGCAUACAAAGAGAAGCGACCUCGCGAGAGCAAGCGGACCUCAUAAAGUGCGUCGUAGUCCGGAUUGGAGUCUGCAACUCGACUCCAUGAAGUCGGAAUCGCUAGUAAUCGUGGAUCAGAAUGCCACGGUGAAUACGUUCCCGGGCCUUGUACACACCGCCCGUCACACCAUGGGAGUGGGUUGCAAAAGAAGUAGGUAGCUUAACCUUCGGGAGGGCGCUUACCACUUUGUGAUUCAUGACUGGGGUGAAGUCGUAACAAGGUAACCGUAGGGGAACCUGCGGUUGGAUCAC